This 519-nucleotide ribosomal RNA is filed under the name uncultured eukaryote. Its description in RNAcentral is "SSU rRNA". It matches the Rfam family "Eukaryotic small subunit ribosomal RNA", at positions 1161 to 1710 of the family's 1831-position model. The record is from RNAcentral.
AGGGCACCACCAGGAGUGGAGCUUGCGGCUUAAUUUGACUCAACGCGGGGAAACUCACUUGGUCAGGACACUGUAAGGAUUGACAGAUUGAAAGCUCUUUCUUGAUUCGGUGGAUGGUGGUGCAUGGCCGUUCUUAGUUGGUGGAGUGAUUUGUCUGGUUAAUUCCGAUAACGAACGAGACUCUAUCUUGCUAACUAGUCGCAGAUUUAUUCUGACUGUUGAGCUUCUUAGAAGGACAGGUGGAUUUAACCACACGAGAUUGAGCAAUAACAGGUCUGUGAUGCCCUUAGAUGUCCCAGGCUGCACGCGUGCUACACUGAAGUCGUCAACAUGUGAACCUAUCUCGGGGGAGUGUGGGGAACCCUCUGAAACGGCUUCGUGCUAGGGAUUGGGGUCUGUAAAUCCCCAUGAACGAGGAGUUCCUAGUAAGUGCGAGUCAACAUCUCGCGCUGAUUACGUCCCUGCCCUUUGUACACACCGCCCGUCGCUACUACCGAUUGGAUGCGUUAGUGAGGUUUU